RNAcentral lists this ribosomal RNA (253 nucleotides) under uncultured bacterium. RNAcentral describes it as "partial 16S ribosomal RNA". It matches the Rfam family "Bacterial small subunit ribosomal RNA", at positions 524 to 776 of the family's 1533-position model. The record is from RNAcentral.
UACGGAGGUGGCAAGCGUUGCUCGGAAUCACUGGGCGUAAAGGGUGCGUAGGCGGCCAUGUAAGUGAGGUGUGAAAUCCCUCGGCUCAACCGAGGAACUGCGCUUCAUACUGCAUGGCUUGAGGGAGACAGGGGUAAGCGGAACUGAUGGUGGAGCGGUGAAAUGCGUUGAUAUCAUCAGGAACACCGGUGGCGAAAGCGGCUUACUGGGUCUCUUCUGACGCUGAGGUACGAAAGCUAGGGUAGCGAACGGG